UCUGCCUCCAUUUUGAGGCCUUCCAGCUCGGCGUGGCCCCUGUUUAUAUGGCAUUUUUACGAUUCAUGGGUGAUGAAACGGAUGCACGUAAUUACAGCUACAGUCUAGAGGUAGGAGGAAAUGGUAGAAAACUCAUAUGGGAGGGUACCCCAAGAAGUAUCCGAGAUAGUCAUCGCAAAGUCAGGGACAGUCAUGACGGUCUUAUUAUCCAGCGUAACAUGGCACUCUUCUUUUCUGGUGGUGACCGGAAAGAACUCAAACUUCGAGUUACUGGAAGGAUAUGGA
Molecule: unclassified non-coding RNA, 285 nt
Filed under: Hevea brasiliensis (rubber tree)
Lineage: Eukaryota; Viridiplantae; Streptophyta; Magnoliopsida; Malpighiales; Euphorbiaceae
Source: RNAcentral